This 2501-nucleotide long non-coding RNA is filed under the name Malus domestica (apple). Its description in RNAcentral is "long non-coding RNA (MDOM_LNC020125)". The record is from RNAcentral. Lineage: Eukaryota; Viridiplantae; Streptophyta; Magnoliopsida; Rosales; Rosaceae.
GGGAUGGAACUUACGGAAUACAAGAGGUCUACACCAACGGUGCCUAUUUAAUCAUGGCGGAAGAUGACUUAAAGAUCGGCCCCAUCAACAUAAGGUUUUUGAUAGGAGCAUAUUUAUGCAACUUAGUUAGCUUGUUUUCUUGCAUUCUCAUAGCCAAUUUCUACUUAUUAUAGUGUUUUAAGUUAUUUUUGUGUGUUUGUAGGUCCAAAUGACAAAGUUGGCAAGAAAGUGCAUUUUGGAGCAUUUUAGAGCAGGUUUGGGCAUCAAAUGGAUAGCUUAUGAGUGGAGCAAGAUGGAUGGACGAAUUUGAAGACCAAAGAUGUAUAGGACUGUGCUAAAGAGUUGAAGAAAUAAAUCCAAGACAAAGGAGAUAAGGACUCAGCUUAAAAGAAGGAACAUUAUCCAAAACCUUAUCCAACCUUAUCUUAUCCAAACUAACCUUAUCUUAUAUUAUCCUUUCCUAAUCUAGCCUUACCUUAUCUUAUCUUAUCCAAAUCAGUUUUUGCCUUAAUUCCAGCCAUUUAUAAGGGAUAAUUAUGCAUUUAAAAUACAUAUUUCAGAUUCUAGAACCCUUAUCCCUUAUGUGCCGCAUAUAUGCCUUAUCCUUGGUGAUUUAGGACUUGUAAUUAUUCUCUAAAACCUAUGCCGUGUAUCCUUGUCCCUUUAGGUUCAGAAAUAUGUGCUGAAACAUCCUUUCUAGAAGUUCUAAUACCUGUCGCACCCUCUAUCCCUAUUCUCUUUGGUUUCUGACUUCUAGAUGGCCUAUUCCUUGUGGAUUUGGAGUGUUAAGUUCUUCUCCAAUACAGAGUCUAUAUGCCGUGCCCUUUAGCCCUAUAAAUACAUCCUUUGUGCCACAUAAAUCACCACCACCCCCAUAUUCAUUCUACACCAUAAUUCACGCCAAUUUCUCAGAGAUUCAUCACGUAACAUAGCAAGGAAGGAAGGAAGGGGCUUUGUGCCGUGGCUUGCAAUCCAAGGAGGGUUCGAAUCUGCCAUUGGAGUUGCUAGGACAUUCUUGGUUCUUUCUAUCCUUAGAUUUAUUUCAAUGUUUCUUUUAAUUUGGUUUUAUGUUUUUAAAGACAUGAGGAACUAAUUUCUUUUUAGUUAGAGGUGAAUUCGAAGCCAUGAUUAUAUGCUUUAUAUGAAUUGAUUACAUCAAGUUAUUGUUUCUUGAGUCUUGAAUGUGAUUUAUUUAUCUGCGUUAUCAAAACUUGUUUAUGUAUGUUGAUUGAGGAUGCAUACUUAAUUUGCUUGCAUAAACUUAAGUAUAAGGGAGUUUCACCUAAUCGUUAUGAACUUAUAUUCAUAAGUAGUGGAAGUCACUAGUCAUGAUUGUGUUAAGUAAAUCCUUGUCAGGAGUAUCAUGCUUUUCAUAGUUAUGAAUGCCUCGUCAAUACUUAUGGUUUUCAAAGAACUUAAUGACCUUUGAUAUGUCUUUCUAUCAUGCUUUUCAUAGUUAGGGGACUUGAGAAGGAUAAUUUGGUUAUGAUUCGUAUCCCCUCCAAUUUAAUGAAAUAAGGAAAAUGUAAUGGUUAAUUUGUGCUGUCACGGUUAACUUGGGGUGUUGUCAUUCAUAGUCUAAGGGAACAAUACUGGAAAUUGGUUUAUGUUGCAUAUGGUUCAUGUGUGGAGAAGGAUCCUCUGCCUAAGUUUUCACCAUUCAAAUCACCUAAUUUACUUUGGUUGCAAUCUGUUUAGUUUAGUUAAAUUUCUUCCAAAUAACUCCCUAGAGUCUGUUUUGAGUCUUUUUAACUUAGUUUUGUUGUUUUGAGUGUUUUAAGUCAGUUUUGAGUUUAUAGAGUUUAGUUUAGUGUUUUUGAGUCUUACUUGUGUUGAUUAGCAUCCCUAGUUAAUCCCCAGUCUAGAACGAUCCCUACUUGCUUAAUACUACAAUUACAUGUUUAAUAUGGUUUAAUUUGUGUGUCGAAUUAAUUCUCACAUAAGUUCUUAAAGCGCUAUUAUUCUCGACCAAACUCAAUGCUCCUCGCCUGCAUGAGCCUAAACUGCACACUGUACAAUGCUCCUUGUUUGCACGAGUUUAAAAGGUGACACUCAAUGCUCCUCGCCUGCAUGAGCCCAAACUGCACAUGACACAAUGCUCCUUGUUCGCAUGAGCUUAAAAGGCAACACUCGACACUCCUUGUUUGCACGAGUUUAAAAGGCGACACUCAACGCUCCUGGCCUGCAAAAGCAUAAAUUGUGUACAACAAGAAUCAAAAUGACCAUCAAAACCAUAAAAAAAUAAUCCAUCACUCAUUUGAACUGUGUCAUUACUUGAUCCCUCCUCAACUGAGGGUAUGUAGGCAAGUAGAAACUUCAAAGCUUCAAGUACAGUUACAUCAUCAACAAAAAGCACAAACACUUUGAAGAAUAAAGAGUAAAUUCAAGAAUGUGAAUACUUUAUAUUUUAAAGGAAGAAUUCGGCUACAAAUUCGUAUUACAAAAUGAGCAAAAGAAAAAAAAACGAAGAAGGCUUAAAGUACAAGGAACGGAAGGCGCUA